Homo sapiens (human) is the source of this 2161-nucleotide long non-coding RNA. The record is from Ensembl. Lineage: Eukaryota; Metazoa; Chordata; Mammalia; Primates; Hominidae.
GGGUGGAGAGGAUUGGGAGCACUUCAGAGAAAAGAUCUGAGAGAAAAGCCUGGGACUCUGCCACCCAGCUCCCUGGCCCCUGGGAGAAGCCAUGGCAGAUAUUUGGGAUGAGGCAGCAUGCUGGUCCCUCAGCAGCAUCCUUAUCACGUCAGCUGUGAGAGAAAUAAAACUGUGAGACUGUGAAGUGUAUAAAGGAUUCUACCGCUCUCCCGGGGCUUGGAGACCCACAGAUUGGAGAAAUCUCCAUCUCAAUCUUCUUUGCCACGUCAUGCAUGCCCUUGAAGCAUUAGAAUUCCUUAAAGCUUCAUGGGAGAAUGCCAUGGGAUGAUGAAGACAGAGAUUGGAGUCAUGCAUCUGCAAGCCAAGAAAUGUACAAGAUUGCUGGCAAACCACCAGAAGCUAGGAGCAGACAAGGAAGGAUCCUCCCCUAAAGGUUUCAGAGGGAGCCAUGGCCUUGCUGACAUCUUGAUUUCAGACUUCUAUCCUCCAGAAUGGCCCUAUUCAUCCACUCCAGAAAUUACCUGGACUGCCGUGUUCUGACAUAGCCUGGUUCUCCACCAGUGGUCUCACCUAGUGCCCUUUGGCUCUGUUGCACAAAGCUUGCUGGGAUAAAUAGCAUAAAGAGACUGGAAGAAGAUGGGGAUACCUUUCAAAUGCCAAUUCCCUGAAUCCCUUGGAGGGCACAGAGAAUCUGCAUUGGUCUCAAGAACUCAAAAGAAGAACCAUGGGGAUUAAAAAGGAGGCACGAAUCAUAAAACAUUCAGGUGAUUAACAAGAGUUAGCUCUGCCUCCUUCCAGAGAGAAGGUUUGGGGGCACUGAAGAGUGGCAGGGACCAAAGAAAGGUGUGACUGUCCACCCUCUCUGAAGGGGUCCUUCUCAGUAUUGGGAACUGUCCCAAGAAAACCAUGGACACUAUUUGCACAUGGGGGAGCACUGCACAGAAGAUAACCCCAAACCAAGCCAGAGGAAGACCACUCCCAGAAGUCAGCCAAUUAUAUGAGAUAAUAUCUGCUAUCUCUUCCAUCCUUCUUCCUGACUUCAGCACAUGGGAUGGGCUAGAGAUCUAGAUGGAAGAGGAAUGUGAGGUGUCCCCAGAACAGACUAGAUCCUCCACUCCAACCCUAAGGUUGGGGAGGAAGAGAAUUGAGAAGACGAUGUAACUGUCCUCUUGAGCUGAUGCCUUGCUACCUCUUAGUAAGUGGAAAAAUUAAAUAUCAAUUUGGAGAAGAGAUCACAAUGUUGGACUAUACUGGGAUGAAUAUUUAAUAGCUGAAAAUGCCUGGAAAGCUGUGAGUUUUGCUGGGAUAUUUGAGGUUGGAAAUGGAGAUUUGACAUCAAGGUGAAGGCAGCAAUUUGAGAACAAUAAAACCAUUGUAUCUAAAUGCAGUUCAGACCAUUCAGUCAUAAAUUGUAUUUGAUUGCUGUUGAAAAGCCACAAUGAAUGUUAUUGUUUGGCAAGAAUAAUUCCGUCGGUCAUUCCAAGUCACUGGUUAGAUUUUAAGGUACAAUUGGAUUAAAAUAGAUAAUUAGGAAGCACAUUUCUCAUUAUUCAGGAUGGAUUUAGCUGAUUCACAACUUCAGUUGCAAGAGAUUAGACUGCAAAAUUAGAGAUUAGAUUGAAAUAUAUUAGACUGAAAAUUUCAUUUUUUAUUUUAGUUUGCCUUCUCCCAGACAGUGUGUUGACGUGGAAGCUGUCAGGGCUCAGAAGAUCUGGGGUCUAAUGGCUCCAUCCAUAACCACCUAUAUCAAAGCAGUCACAUCUUAGGAACUUAUGGUAUCUUGAUUUCUUUCCAUUGUUACCCUAAUUCAGUAAGCAUUCGCAAAGUAUCUUAUGAGGAUAGCGGCUUUAGAAUUAGACCAUGUAGGUUAGAAUCCAGGGGCUAUAAUUUACUGGCUGUGUGAUCUUGGUCAAGCUACUUAUCCUUUCUGAGGCACUGUUUUCUCAUCUUUAAAUGUGGAUGUGGCAAUUGAACUGGGCCACAAAGAAUCAGUAGAAUCUCCUCUGUAAAUUGGAGUAUUUGAACUAUGUGAUGUUUAAAACCUCUUCAAUUCUAAAAGCCUAUUCUAUAUAACCCCACAGGGAAGAGAAUGGAUUUCAACAGAAUCGUGUGGCUUCAGAUGAUAAAGAAGUAAGAAUUUCCAGGUUAGAUAUCAGAUAUA